GACGAACGCUGGCGGCGUGCUUAACACAUGCAAGUCGAACGCUGAAGCCCGCAGCUUGCUGUGGGUGGAUGAGUGGCGAACGGGUGAGUAACACGUGAGUAACCUGCCCUUCACUGUGGGAUAAGCCUUGGAAACGAGGUCUAAUACCGCAUAUUCACUUCGCAUCGCAUGGUGUGUUGUGGAAAGUUUUUUCGGUGAGGGAUGGGCUCGCGGCCUAUCAGCUUGAUGGUGGGGUAAUGGCCUACCAUGGCGACGACGGGUAGCCGGCCUGAGAGGGCGACCGGCCACACUGGGACUGAGACACGGCCCAGACUCCUACGGGAGGCAGCAGUGGGGAAUAUUGCACAAUGGGGGAAACCCUGAUGCAGCGACGCCGCGUGGGGGAUGACGGCCUUCGGGUUGUAAACCUCUUUCAGUAGGGAAGAAGCCCCUUGGGGUGACGGUACCUGCAGAAGAAGCACCGGCUAACUACGUGCCAGCCGCC
RNAcentral lists this ribosomal RNA (484 nucleotides) under uncultured bacterium. Its description in RNAcentral is "bacterial SSU rRNA". It matches the Rfam family "Bacterial small subunit ribosomal RNA", at positions 28 to 516 of the family's 1533-position model. The record is from RNAcentral.